AGGUGGUGCAUGGUUGUCGUCAGCUCGUGUCGUGAGAUGUUGGGUUAAGUCCCGCAACGAGCGCAACCCUCGACCUUAGUUGCCAGCAUUCAGUUGGGCACUCUAAGGUGACUGCCGGCUAAAAGUCGGAGGAAGGUGGGGAUGACGUCAAAUCAUCAUGCCCCUUAUGACCUGGGCUACACACGUGCUACAAUGGGCGGUACAAAGGGUCGCGAACCCGCGAGGGGGAGCCAAUCCCAAAAAGCCGCUCUCAGUUCGGAUUGCAGGCUGCAACCCGCCUGCAUGAAGCCGGAAUCGCUAGUAAUCGCGGAUCAGCAUGCCGCGGUGAAUACGUUCCCGGGCCUU
Molecule: ribosomal RNA, 345 nt
Filed under: uncultured Anoxybacillus sp.
Lineage: Bacteria; Bacillati; Bacillota; Bacilli; Caryophanales; Anoxybacillaceae
Description: bacterial SSU rRNA
Rfam family: Bacterial small subunit ribosomal RNA
Source: RNAcentral